This 253-nucleotide ribosomal RNA is filed under the name uncultured bacterium. RNAcentral describes it as "partial 16S ribosomal RNA". It matches the Rfam family "Bacterial small subunit ribosomal RNA", at positions 524 to 776 of the family's 1533-position model. The record is from RNAcentral.
UACGAACCGUGCGAACGUUGUUCGGAAUCACUGGGCUUAAAGGGCGCGUAGGCGGCUUGGAAAGUCCGGGGUGAAAGCCCCCAGCUCAACUGGGGAAGUGCCUCGGAAACUGCCAGGCUGGAGGGUGGUAGGGGUCGAGGGAACUUCUGGUGGAGCGGUGAAAUACGUAGAUAUGCGGAGGAACACCGAUGGCGAAGGCAAUCCCCUGGGCCUGCACUGACGCUCAUGCACGAAAGCGUGGGGAGCAAACAGG